This 424-nucleotide ribosomal RNA is filed under the name Verrucomicrobiota bacterium. RNAcentral's name for it is "Verrucomicrobia bacterium partial 16S ribosomal RNA". It matches the Rfam family "Bacterial small subunit ribosomal RNA", at positions 355 to 776 of the family's 1533-position model. Lineage: Bacteria; Pseudomonadati; Verrucomicrobiota. The record is from RNAcentral.
UGAGGAAUAUUGGUCAAUGGGCGAGAGCCUGAACCAGCCAAGUAGCGUGCAGGAUGACGGCUCUAUGGGUUGUAAACUGCUUUUAUAUGGGAAUAAAGUGAGGGACGUGUCCCUUAUUGCAUGUACCAUACGAAUACGGACCGGCCAAUUCCGUGCCAGCAGCCGCGGUAAUACGGAAGGUCCAGGCGUUAUCCGGAUUUAUUGGGUUUAAAGGGAGCGUAGGCUGUUUGUUAAGCGUGUUGUGAAAUGUAAGAGCUCAACUUUUAGAUUGCAGCGCGAACUGGCAGACUUGAGUGCGCACAACGUAGGCGGAAUUCAUGGUGUAGCGGUGAAAUGCUUAGAUAUCAUGACGAACUCCGAUUGCGAAGGCAGCUUACGGGAGCGCAACUGACGCUAAAGCUCGAAGGUGCGGGUAUCGAACAGG